RNAcentral lists this unclassified non-coding RNA (333 nucleotides) under Hevea brasiliensis (rubber tree). The record is from RNAcentral. Lineage: Eukaryota; Viridiplantae; Streptophyta; Magnoliopsida; Malpighiales; Euphorbiaceae.
GCAAGAAAUUUAUCUAUUUUCCUCUGCAAGUGACAUAACAAGAAAAGGAGACAAUACAUCAGAGGAUGUAAGACGUGCUAAUUAAUGACUGAAUGACUAUAUACGCAGAAAUCAGUCACAUUGAACUAACAAAGCAUCUUAAGUAUCAGAAACCGUAGUUUACUAUUGUGACCUGGCAAAAUCAGUCGAUCUCAACUUUAGUUUCGAAACAAAUAAAGCAAAUUUCACAAUUGAAGUAACACUGCAUUGCUCAAUCAAGGCAGUUUAUGAGAAUAUUCAUAGCAACAACUAUAGAAAAACACACCCACAACUACUUAUGGAAACAAAGUUACC